ACCGGUGUGGCGUGAAUUUUGUCAGACCCGUGAGAAACGUAAGACUUUACGUUCUGCGCAUGCGCAGGUAGUUGUCGGACGGGGCCGUGAGAAAUGUAAGACUUUCUGGUACAAUUGUGUGUUAACCUCGUUUAGAAGCUCAUUAAUUAAUCCAAGUGUAGUUCUUCCUUUUAUUCAUGAGCAUAGAGAUAUUUUCUACGAUACCAACUUUUAUUUAUCUGUGACAACGUAUCGUGUGGAUGAAAUAUUGUCCAAAUCAGUGGCAGUCUUUCGACAUCGUUCGUUCCCGAUGUCGAGUUGGUGGAAAAUCCUGGAAAAUCGAAGAGCUUUGAUCGAGUGAGAACAAUCCAGUGUUACAAAAAGGUGUCAUUUUCGGAUAGCUGAGAUUACAAUUAACAAAUAUUUCACUUCUGGAUAAAUGUAGUGACAUCAAUACAGAAACAGCAGAUUAUAGGCAAAGGAAAGCUAUUUCUGGAUCUUUCGCAAAAUACAUGAUGUACAAAUAUUCUGCCAGAAACUUUAACCUGACAAAAAGGAAGUGGUGUAGAUCUGUUGGUAUAUCUGCAUAUUGUUGGUGAUACAAAAUGUGUAAUAUGAAAACAUUGAAGAAAGACUUGACAAAUGCAAAAUAUGUGAUGCAAGAAUUCAGUAUAAGUAAAAUUACCAGAUUUUCAUUUCAAAUGAAAAAGAAUUGUAGCCCACAGGAUCAGUCCUCAUCUUUAGUCAGUGGUCAGGCUUAAAAAGUAUUUUUUUCCAGAAGACACAAGUGCAAGUAAAAAAGGCACAUUUCACUUUUUCCACUUGAAUUAUGUUGGAUUAAAUUAAGAGUUAUCAAAAAGUAUGGAAAAUAAAGUUAAUUUGGCAAUUAAUGUUUAAGAGUGCCAAAAUGACAGCAAAAUGUAUCUUUUCCUUAUUUUGUCAAUAUUGAAUUUUAUGAUACUUUGGAUGAAAUGACAAUAAAACUGUCAGUGAAAGUAAAUUAAUUGAAUUUUGAUAAUAAACAGACCAAUUCAAGUAAACUAAAUGUGGUAAAGAAGACAUUAUGGAGUUAACAAGGAGAUACCAAAAGUGUAAAUGAAUGUAACAAUAAAUUACAUCUAUAUUAUUUCAUAGACUCUGUGAAAGGAUUAUAGUCAGAUCUGAAUAGGAAUCAUAAGAUUAUAACAUGUUAUAACUGAAAGAAAGCUGAGAAACAUCCAUCAUGGGGAAAAGUGUAUUUGACAUUUACAUUCAUAUUAUCAAUUGUUAGAAACGCUCAAGUAUUGACAUGUAACACCUUAGUAGGUAAUCUUCUAUUUAACUUGGUUAACCUGGGAAUACUUAACUAGAUCAAUUCAUACAACCUUCAGUCCUUUAUCUCCAUGAUUUAUCAUGAGGGGAUCCAGGCAGAUAAUUCAGUGAUAGACUAUAGCUUCAUUAUUUUUUCCUAUUUUGUAAAUAUCUAUUCCAUAAUAUUGAAAUACAACAAUAAAACAAUAAUUAUAGGACCUUAUCUAUUGCAUUGUCAACUUUUUAGCCCGACUAUACAAAGUAUAUGGAGAGCUGUCCUACUCGCCCCGGCGUCUGCGUCCAGAUUUCAGAUUAAAGUUUAUGUGCAGUAAAAUACAUUUCACUAUAACUUUGUCAUUUCUUAAGGUAUCAACUUCAAAUAUAUGUUCCUUAUCAUCAACUUCAUCUUAUGUGACGAGCUUUAUACCUCUAGCACCAAUAUUUUCAGAUUUAUUUUCCCUUGAUCUUACAAUUUUCCUUAAAAAAUAAUAUUUUUUACUGUUACUUAUUUAUUUCUAAAGGGAUCAACCUCAUACUUCAAAUAUAUGUACCUUAUCAUCAUCCCCAUCUUAUGUGACAAGGUUCAUAUCUCUUGCACCAAUAUUUUCAGAUUUAUAUCCCCUUGAACUUAGAAUUUUCCUUAAAAAUAUUAUUUUUACUGAUACUUAUUUAUUUCUGAAGGGAUCAACUUCAUACUUCAAAUAUAUGUACCUUAUCAUCAUCCACAUCUUAUGUGACAAGGUUCAUAACUCUAGCACCAAUAUUGCAAGAAUUAUCUCCUUAUAAACUUAGAUUUUUUUACUAGAAAAAUGUUAUUUUUUACUAUGACUUUUUAGCUCACCUGUCACAAAGUGACAGGGUGAGCUUUUGUGACCGCUUUUCGUCCGGCGUCCGUCCGUCCGUCCGUCGUCCGUCCGUCCGUAAACUUUUACUUUAAAUGACAUCUCCUCAUAAACCACUAAGCCAAUUUCAUCCAAACUUCACAGGAAUGUUCCUUUGGUGGUCACCUUUGAAAAUUGUUCAAAGAAUUUAAUUCCAUGCAGAAUUCUGGUUGCCAUGGCAACCGAAAGAAAAAACUUUAAAUAUCUUCUUUUAAAAAACCAUAAGAGCUAGAGCUUAGAUAUUUGGCAUGAAACAUCUUCUAGUGAGUGUCUACAAAGUUUGUUCAAAUAAAAGCCCUGGGGUCAAAAUUGGCCCCGCCCCGGGGGGUCAUUGAUUUUCCCUAUAUGCAUAUAGUAAAAAUUAAAAAAAUCUUCUUUUAAAGAACCCAAAGAGCUAGAGCUAAGAUAUUUAGCAUGAAAUAUGUUCUAAUGGGUGUCUACCAAGUUUAUUCAAAUAAAAGCCCUGGGGUCAAAAUUGGCCCCGCCCCAGGGGGUCAUUGAUUUUCCCUAUAUGCAUAUAGUAAAAACUUAAAAAAUCUUCUUUUAAAGAACUCAAAGAGCUGUGGCUAAGAUAUUGAGCAUCAAACAUGUUCUAAUAGGUGUCUACCAAGUCUGUUUAAAUAAAAGCCCUGGGGUCAAAAUUGGCCCCGCCCCAGGGGGUCAUUGAUUUUCCCUAUAUGCAUAUAUUAAAAACUUAAAAAAUCUUCUUUUAAAGAACCAAAAGAGUAGAGCUAAGAUAUUUAGCAUGAAACAUGUUCUAAUAAGUGUCUACCAAGUUUGUUCAAAUAAAAGCCCUGGGGUCAAAAUUGGCCCCGCCCCGGGGGGGUCAUUGUUUUCCCUAUAUGCAUAUAGUAAAAACUUAAAAAAUCUUCUUUUAAAGAACCAAAAGAGCUAGAGCUGUGAUAUUUAGCAUGAAAUAUGUUUUAAUGGGUGUCUACCAAGUUUGUUCAAAUAAAAGCCCUGAGGUCAAAAUUGGACCCGCCCCGGGGGGUCAUUGAUUUUCCCUAUAAACAUAUAGUAAAAACUUUAAAAAUCUUCUUUUAAAGAACUCAAAGAGCUAUGGCUAAGAUAUUGAGCAUGAAACAUGUUCUAAUAGUUGUCUACCAAGUUUGUUCAAAUAAAAGCCCUUGGGUCAAAAUUGGCCCCGCCCCGGGGGGUCAUUGAUUUUCCCUAUAUGCAUAAAGUAAAACUUAAAAAAUCUUCUUUUAAAGAACCAAAAGAGUUAGAGCUAAGAUAUUUAGCAUGAAACAUGUUCUAAUAAGUGUCUACCAAGUUUGUUCAAAUAAAAGCCCUGUGGUCAAAAU
Long non-coding RNA from Ruditapes philippinarum (Manila clam), 3454 nucleotides. RefSeq lists it as uncharacterized. NCBI's taxonomy places the organism in Eukaryota, Metazoa, Mollusca, Bivalvia, Venerida, Veneridae. The transcript has 3 exons. The record is from RefSeq and is a predicted model, not a curated record.